RNAcentral lists this ribosomal RNA (253 nucleotides) under uncultured bacterium. RNAcentral's name for it is "partial 16S ribosomal RNA". It matches the Rfam family "Bacterial small subunit ribosomal RNA", at positions 524 to 776 of the family's 1533-position model. The record is from RNAcentral.
UACGUAGGGGGCAAGCGUUGUCCGGAUUUAUUGGGCGUAAAGAGCGUGUAGGCGGUUAGGUAGGUCCGUUGUGAAAACUCGAGGCUCAACCUCGAGACGCCGAUGGAAACCAUCUAACUAGAGUCCGGAAGAGGAGAGUGGAAUUCCUGGUGUAGCGGUGAAAUGCGUAGAGAUCCGGAGGAACACCGACGGCGCAGGCAGCGUCCUGGCCGCUUGCUGACACUGAGGCACGAAAGCUGGGGGAGCAAACAGG